This 424-nucleotide ribosomal RNA is filed under the name uncultured bacterium. RNAcentral describes it as "partial 16S ribosomal RNA". It matches the Rfam family "Bacterial small subunit ribosomal RNA", at positions 360 to 776 of the family's 1533-position model. The record is from RNAcentral.
AAUUUUGGACAAUGGGGGAAACCCUGAUCCAGCCAUCCCGCGUGUAUGAUGAAGGCCUUCGGGUUGUAAAGUACUUUUGGCAGAGAAGAAAAGGUAUCCCCUAAUACGGGAUACUGCUGACGGUAUCUGCAGAAUAAGCACCGGCUAACUACGUGCCAGCAGCCGCGGUAAUACGUAGGGUGCAAGCGUUAAUCGGAAUUACUGGGCGUAAAACGGUUUGAGGCGGUUUCGAAAGAAAGAUUGUAAAACCCAGGGCUCAACCUUGGAACUUCAUUUUUAACUGCCGAGCUAGAGGAUUUCAGAAGGGGGUAGAAUUCCACCUGUUGCAGUUAAAUGCGUAGAUAUGUUGAGGAAUACCGAUGGCGAAGGCAGCCCCCUGGGAUAAUACUGACGCUCAGACACGAAAGCGUGGGGAGCAAACAGG